UGGAGGGGGAUAACUACUGGAAACGGUAGCUAAUACCGCAUAACGUCGCAAGACCAAAGAGGGGGACCUUCGGGCCUCUUGCCAUCGGAUGUGCCCAGAUGGGAUUAGCUUGUUGGUGGGGUAACGGCUCACCAAGGCGACGAUCCCUAGCUGGUCUGAGAGGAUGACCAGCCACACUGGAACUGAGACACGGUCCAGACUCCUACGGGAGGCAGCAGUGGGGAAUAUUGCACAAUGGGCGCAAGCCUGAUGCAGCCAUGCCGCGUGUAUGAAGAAGGCCUUCGGGUUGUAAAGUACUUUCAGCGGGGAGGAAGGGAGUAAAGUUAAUACCUUUGCUCAUUGACGUUACCCGCAGAAGAAGCACCGGCUAACUCCGUGCCAGCAGCCGCGGUAAUACGGAGGGUGCAAGCGUUAAUCGGAAUUACUGGGCGUAAAGCGCACGCAGGCGGUUUGUUAAGUCAGAUGUGAAAUCCCCCGG
This 478-nucleotide ribosomal RNA is filed under the name Escherichia coli. RNAcentral describes it as "bacterial SSU rRNA". It matches the Rfam family "Bacterial small subunit ribosomal RNA", at positions 134 to 607 of the family's 1533-position model. The record is from RNAcentral. Lineage: Bacteria; Pseudomonadati; Pseudomonadota; Gammaproteobacteria; Enterobacterales; Enterobacteriaceae.